Molecule: ribosomal RNA, 530 nt
Filed under: uncultured eukaryote
Lineage: Eukaryota
Description: SSU rRNA
Rfam family: Eukaryotic small subunit ribosomal RNA
Source: RNAcentral
UAGUCAUAUGCUUGUCUCAAAGAUUAAGCCAUGCAUGUCUAAGCACAAGCCGAUUAAUGGUGAAGCCGCGAAUGGCUCAUUACAACAGCCAUAGUUUCUUAGAUCUUACUUUUCUACUUGGAUAACUGUGGUAAUUCUAGAGCUAAUACACGCAAAAAAGCUCAGACCUUACGGAAUGAGCGCAUUUAUUAGAACAAAAACCAAUCGGGCUUCGGUCCGUCAUUUGGUGAAUCUGAAUAACUUUGCUGAUCGCACGGUCUUCGUACCGGCGACAUAUCUUUCAAAUGUCUGCCUUAUCAACUUUCGAUGGUAGUUUAUGCGCCUACCAUGGUUGUAACGGGUAACGGAGAAUAAGGGUUCGACUCCGGAGAGGGAGCCUGAGAAACGGCUACCACAUCCAAGGAAGGCAGCAGGCACGCAAAUUACCCACUCCCGGCACGGGGAGGUAGUGACGAAAAAUAACGAGACGGCUCGCUAUGCGGUCCGUCAUCGGAAUGGGUACAAUUUAAAUCCUUUAACGAGGAUCUAUU